GCUUGUCUAGCUCAAUUGGUAGAGCACAAGGCUUUUAACCUUGUGGUUAUGGGUUUGAGUCCCAUGGUGGGCG
This 73-nucleotide transfer RNA is filed under the name Ipomoea nil (Japanese morning glory). It matches the Rfam family "tRNA". From Rfam's summary of the family: Transfer RNA (tRNA) molecules are approximately 80 nucleotides in length. Their secondary structure includes four short double-helical elements and three loops (D, anti-codon, and T loops). The record is from Rfam by way of RNAcentral. Lineage: Eukaryota; Viridiplantae; Streptophyta; Magnoliopsida; Solanales; Convolvulaceae.